UCACUAACAAUGGAGCCACCAC
This 22-nucleotide non-coding RNA is filed under the name Arabidopsis thaliana (thale cress). The record is from RNAcentral. Lineage: Eukaryota; Viridiplantae; Streptophyta; Magnoliopsida; Brassicales; Brassicaceae.